Molecule: ribosomal RNA, 279 nt
Filed under: uncultured bacterium
Lineage: Bacteria
Description: partial 16S ribosomal RNA
Rfam family: Bacterial small subunit ribosomal RNA
Source: RNAcentral
GCCUGAUGCAGCCAUGCCGCGUGUGUGAAGAAGGCCCUAGGGUUGUAAAGCACUUUCAGUGGGGAGGAAAGGUUGUUGGUUAAUACCCAAUAGCUGUGACGUUACCCACAGAAGAAGCACCGGCUAACUCCGUGCCAGCAGCCGCGGUAAUACGGAGGGUGCGAGCGUUAAUCGGAAUUACUGGGCGUAAAGCGUGCGUAGGCGGCCACCUAAGUUGGAUGUGAAAGCCCCGGGCUCAACCUGGGAACUGCAUCCAAAACUGGGUGGCUGGAGUACGGG